GUAACGGCGAGUGAAGCGGCAACAGCUCAAAUUUGAAAUCUGACUCCUUCGGGGUCCGAGUUGUAAUUUGUAGAGGGUGUUUCGGGCGCGAUGCCGGUCUAAGUUCCUUGGAACAGGACGUCGUAGAGGGUGAGAAUCCCGUAUGCGACCGGCGAUCAAGCCCGUGCGAAGCCCCUUCGACGAGUCGAGUUGUUUGGGAAUGCAGCUCAAAAUGGGUGGUAAAUUUCAUCUAAAGCUAAAUACUGGCCAGAGACCGAUAGCGGACAAGUAGAGUGAUCGAAAGAUGAAAAGCACUUUGGAAAGAGAGUCAAACAGUACGUGAAAUUGUUGAAAGGGAAGCGCUUGCAAUCAGACCGGUCCGGAGGCGAUCAGCCGCUGCUCGUCAGCGGUGCACUCGCCUGCGAUCCGGCCAGCAUCGGUUUGGGCGGCGGGAUAAAAGUCCCGGGAAUGUAGCCUCCUCCGGGGAGUCUUAUAGCCCGGGUCGCAAUGCCGCCCGCCCGGACCGAGGACCGCGCUUCGGCUAG
Molecule: ribosomal RNA, 524 nt
Filed under: Sticta aff. fuliginosa
Lineage: Eukaryota; Fungi; Ascomycota; Lecanoromycetes; Peltigerales; Lobariaceae
Description: eukaryotic LSU rRNA
Rfam family: Eukaryotic large subunit ribosomal RNA
Source: RNAcentral